UACGUAGGGGGCGAGCGUUGUCCGAAUUCACUGGGCGUAAAGCGCGCGUAGGCGGGUUAUUAAGUUGGAGGUGAAAUCCCGGGGCUCAACCCCGGAACUGCCCCCAAAACUGGUAGCCUUGAGGUAUGGAGAGGGAAGUGGAAUUCCAGGUGUAGCGGUGAAAUGCGUAGAUAUCUGGAGGAACACCCGUGGCGAAGGCGGCUUCCUGGUCAUAUCCUGACGCUGAGGUGCGAAAGCUAGGGGAGCGAACGGG
This 253-nucleotide ribosomal RNA is filed under the name uncultured Armatimonadota bacterium. RNAcentral's name for it is "uncultured Armatimonadetes bacterium partial 16S ribosomal RNA". It matches the Rfam family "Bacterial small subunit ribosomal RNA", at positions 524 to 776 of the family's 1533-position model. Lineage: Bacteria; Bacillati; Armatimonadota. The record is from RNAcentral.